AGGAAAAAACACAAGACUUUCCCCAGUAAAAUGGCGUUCAUGUCGAGAAAUUAAGGAGAAAACACAAGACGCUCAACAGGAAACAGGAGUUCAUGUCCUGAGGAAGUAAAGGAGAAAACACAUGACUUUCACCCAGGAAACAGGUGUUCAUGUCCUGGAGAAGUUAAGGAGAAAA
This is a long non-coding RNA of Etheostoma spectabile (orangethroat darter), 175 nucleotides long. RefSeq lists it as uncharacterized. The record is from RefSeq and is a predicted model, not a curated record. The transcript has 2 exons. Lineage: Eukaryota; Metazoa; Chordata; Actinopteri; Perciformes; Percidae.